This 988-nucleotide long non-coding RNA is filed under the name Zostera marina. RNAcentral describes it as "long non-coding RNA (ZMAR_LNC004441)". Lineage: Eukaryota; Viridiplantae; Streptophyta; Magnoliopsida; Alismatales; Zosteraceae. The record is from RNAcentral.
GAUCUGUAGCUCUGGUCAGAAUCAGACUCUGAUAGUGAGUCGGUCUACUUUGUCGCUUUGGCCUUAGUAGACCAAAGGUCAUUUUGACGCUUCGGCCUUAAUGAUCUCAAGGGGGAGAAUCCCAAGUUCUUCCUGACACUUCUGUCGCUUCGGCCAGAAGUCGUCAAAUUCGGGGGGGAGUAUCACAAGCUCUUCCUGACACUUUUGUCGCUUCGGCCAGAAGUCGUCAAACUCGGGGGGGAGUAUCACAAACUCUUCCUGACACUUCCGUCGCUUUGGCCAGGAGAUGUCAAACAUUGAGCACGAUAGAUCUGUCGCUUCGGCCAGAUCAAUCGAGGAGAUAUUGAGCAUGGGAAGGAGCGGCACAAGAAGCAGCCCCUCACGGCAAGGUUAGUAAGUCAAUAAAUAUAUCCUUUAGACUGAUACAGUUGUUUUGCAGGUUAUUCUUUUUGUUUUGCAGGAACGAUCUUGUCGCUUUGGCCAGGAUCCACGCAUUCUGUCGCUUCGGCCAGAAUCAGACUCUAAACGAGUCAGUCCAUUUUGUCGCUAUGGCCUCAAUGGACCAAAGAAUUAUUUUGUCGCUUUGGCCUCAAUAAUUCUUCUAUCUUGUCGCUUUGGCCUUGAUAGACUUGGAGAUCAUUUUAUCGCUUUGGCCUUAAUGAUCUCGACCCACUUUGUCGCUUUGGCCUUAGUGGGGUAACCGUCGUUGCGGACGUAAAGUCGCUCUUGAUCAGGGUGGACUAUAAACAUGGGUUCUGAUAGUGAACCAGAUCCUGUCGCUUUGGCCAGGAUCCACGCAUUCUGUCGCUUGGGCCAGAAUCAGACUCUGAUAGUGAGUCGCUCCAUUUUGUCGCUUUGGCCUUAAUGGAUGGGAGUUAUUUUGUCGCUUUGGCCUUAAUAACAUCCUUUCAUCUUGUCGCUUUGGCCUUGAUGAUAACACAGAAAGAGUCGCUCCUGAUCAGAGUCGGACUAUAAACACGUAGUUCUA